UUUAUUUUUGUUUUGUUUUUGUU
RNAcentral lists this small RNA (23 nucleotides) under Arabidopsis thaliana (thale cress). Its description in RNAcentral is "ATSL078260". Lineage: Eukaryota; Viridiplantae; Streptophyta; Magnoliopsida; Brassicales; Brassicaceae. The record is from RNAcentral.